GACGAACGCUGGCGGCGUGCCUAAUACAUGCAAGUCGAACGCUGAAGGAGGAGCUUGCUUCUCUGGAUGAGUUGCGAACGGGUGAGUAACGCGUAGGUAACCUGCCUGGUAGCGGGGGAUAACUAUUGGAAACGAUAGCUAAUACCGCAUAAGAGUAGAUGUUGCAUGACAUUUACUUAAAAGGUGCAAUUGCAUCACUACCAGAUGGACCUGCGUUGUAUUAGCUAGUUGGUGAGGUAACGGCUCACCAAGGCAACGAUACAUAGCCGACCGGAGAGGGGGAUCGGCCACCCUGGGACUGAGACCCGGCCCAGACUCCUACGGGAGGCAGCAGUAGGGAAUCUUCGGCAAUGGACGGAAGUCUGACCGAGCAACGCCGCGUGAGUGAAGAAGGUUUUCGGAUCGUAAAGCUCUGUUGUAAGAGAAGAACGAGUGUGAGAGUGGAAAGUUCACACUGUGACGGUAUCUUACCAGAAAGGGACGGCUAACUACGUG
RNAcentral lists this ribosomal RNA (495 nucleotides) under uncultured bacterium. RNAcentral describes it as "partial 16S ribosomal RNA". It matches the Rfam family "Bacterial small subunit ribosomal RNA", at positions 28 to 507 of the family's 1533-position model. The record is from RNAcentral.